This 274-nucleotide ribosomal RNA is filed under the name uncultured bacterium. RNAcentral's name for it is "partial 16S ribosomal RNA". It matches the Rfam family "Bacterial small subunit ribosomal RNA", at positions 523 to 796 of the family's 1533-position model. The record is from RNAcentral.
AUACGGAGGGGGUUAGCGUUGUUCGGAAUUACUGGGCGUAAAGCGUACGUAGGCGGAUUGGUAAGUUAGAGGUGAAAUCCCGGGGCUCAACCCCGGAACUGCCUUUAAUACUGCCAGUCUUGAGUUCGAGAGAGGUGAGUGGAAUUCCGAGUGUAGAGGUGAAAUUCGUAGAUAUUCGGAGGAACACCAGUGGCGAAGGCGGCUCACUGGCUCGAUACUGACGCUGAGGUACGAAAGUGUGGGGAGCAAACAGGAUUAGAUACCCCAGUAGUCC